Molecule: RNA transcript, 1597 nt
Organism: Piliocolobus tephrosceles (Ugandan red Colobus)
Lineage: Eukaryota; Metazoa; Chordata; Mammalia; Primates; Cercopithecidae
Exons: 3
Source: RefSeq, a predicted model, not a curated record
CGCGGGUGGGGCGGGCUCGUUACCCAGGAGGCUCUGCGGUGCCGGCCGACCCCGGAAGCAUGUCUGUUGGGAGCGGAGGCGCAGUUGCGGUGCUGAGAGCGCUUGCCUGUGCUCCCGGAGCGGGGCUGGGACUCUUCCGAGAUGCCCAGGUUCGCACAGAGACCUCGGAUCGUGGAAGCUCGCGUCUCAAAAGGCCUGUGGGUCAAGGGGGUCCAUCUCGGGGGUGGUUCUUGCGUUUGUAACGUCUUGACAUCGCUGAUCGACCACAGCUGUGCAGGAGGGGCAGUAGGUAUCUGCUGCUACAGUUACCGGAACCUUUGCCAGGACUAGUACAGGACCACGGGCUGGCAGCUCCCGGAUGUCUCCUCUGUGAGUUACAACUGCAGGCUCCCAGUAAAGAAGGAAUUUCCUCUUCUACAGAGCUGGUUUCUCAUUGGUGCUGCUCGCCCAUUCCCUGAGCUGUGACUGCCCGAGGAGUGGGAGGUGGGUGGUGCCUCCAGCCAAUCAGGGGCAGACCCCGGGGCUGCCUGGGAACAGGACUAUGGCACAAACCGAAUGAGUGCUGGGAGCAACCCGCAGUGCUCUGCCGCAUCCAUGUCUUCCUUCACUGACAUGAAAUGCAGAAAAGGCAGCUUUGCCAUAGCACAGCAGAAUGCACAGAACAUGGCCGCCCAAGGCUCUGUCCUUGACCCCGUUGUCCAGAAGCCAUUUACCAAGGGCUCACAGGCACUGAGUGCCCCGUGCACAUAGCCAGACAGUGCACUCAUGCAGGGGAAAGGACAGUGAAGGAGAGUUGGUCCCUGGCCUCCAAAGUCAUAGGGCAUAGUGGCUGUCAUCAGGCAGUGACGAGGGCCAGGAGGGGGACCUCUUAAGGGGCCAUGCAGUUAUGGAAGCCAAAAAGAAAGAAGGCCUGCAGUGAGGAUGGAGUGGUCGGCCUGAAGCCAUCUCUAGCAAGUGGCCAGAAAGACCAGGGGAGAAGUGUGCAUCACCCUUGGGGUUAAGGGAUAGUUGUCUAUUGGAUGUUGCUUCCUGGAGAUGCCUGAAAAGCCAGUUCAGCCCGCAGGGACCAGGCCACCACCCACCUGAUGUGAGCAUUUCCUCCAGUCCCUGCUGGGUGCUGAAUCUGGCGGACAGGGAAGCUGAGGGUGCUGUUCUGAGUGGUGGAUGAACUGAGCCACAGGGCCCUGCUGGACGUAAGAACACUGGAGGCCAGGGGAAAACGGGGCUGAGGUCAGCCCUCAGCCGAAUGGAGUAGGGACUCAGAGUGGGUCAGGGAACUGGCAAGUGGGCACUGUGCACACAGCCCUUGAGGGGAGCCAGGGUGGGGAUCCCCCACCACGUGCGGAAGGCAGCUGCCUGCUCAGCUGCAUCCCACAGCCAGGUGUCGCCGCAGCCUUGGUUGGAAGCAGGACGUGCCCCUCCAUGCGCUCGCUCGCUAUCAGAAAAUGACUCCAAAAACUGAAGUGUUUAGAGUUUCAUUCACACAAAACAUGGACGUCAUCUGUGACGCUCUGUCCCAGAGAGACAGGGAGGGCCUUCCCUCAUGCCUGUUACUGCGAUGUAGAUAAACAAAAGAACAAAUCAAACAAACUGCAAA